RNAcentral lists this unclassified non-coding RNA (200 nucleotides) under soil metagenome. Its description in RNAcentral is "partial contains 5.8S ribosomal RNA, internal transcribed spacer 2, and large subunit ribosomal RNA". The record is from RNAcentral.
UCCGAAGGGCAUACCUGUUCGAGCGUCAUUACACCCCUCAAAGAUGACUCUUUGGCGUUGGGCAAUGCCUAAAGGCAUGCCUAAAAUCAGUGCUGGUACGUCAAACCACGGGCGCAUAAAUGUUGUCACGUUGGGGCGAUGGGUCAGUCUCAAUUCUCCAUGUUGACCUCGGAUCAGGUAGGGAUACCCGCUGAACUUAA